Molecule: ribosomal RNA, 253 nt
Filed under: uncultured bacterium
Lineage: Bacteria
Description: partial 16S ribosomal RNA
Rfam family: Bacterial small subunit ribosomal RNA
Source: RNAcentral
UACAGGGGGGGCAAGCGUUGUUCGGAAUUACUGGGCGUAAAGGGCUUGUAGGUGGCCAACUAAGUCACACGUGAAAUCCCCAGGCUUAACCUGGGAACUGCGUGUGAUACUGGAUGGCUUGAAUCCGGGAGAGGGAUGCGGAAUUCCAGGUGUAGCGGUGAAAUGCGUAGAUAUCGGGAGGAACACCAGUGGCGAAGGCGACUUCCUGGCCUGUUCUUGACGCUGAGGCGCGAAAGCUAGGGGAGCAAACGGG